RNAcentral lists this ribosomal RNA (253 nucleotides) under uncultured microorganism. Its description in RNAcentral is "partial 16S ribosomal RNA". It matches the Rfam family "Bacterial small subunit ribosomal RNA", at positions 524 to 776 of the family's 1533-position model. The record is from RNAcentral.
UACGUAGGGUGCGAGCGUUAAUCGGAUUUACUGGGCGUAAAGCGUGCGCAGGCGGCCCGUUAAGACAGGUGUGAAAUCCCUGGGCUCAACCUAGGAAUUGCGCUUGUGACUGGCGGGCUGGAGUACGGUAGGGGGGGGUGGAAUUCCUGGUGUAGCAGUGAAAUGCGUAGAGAUCAGGAGGAACACCGAUGGCGAAGGCAGCUCCCUGGGCCUGUACUGACGCUCAUGCACGAAAGCGUGGGGAGCAAACAGG